AUUGGUUUGGCAUUAGUAAACCCUUAAAAGAAGUUCUAGGAUAAAUGAUGCGUGCAAACCAUGAUUAAUCGAUCAAAUUAAAUUGCCAUUGAAGAAGACUACAAAGUGCAGGCAUCACAAAUGUUGUUUUUUUUUUCUUUUGCUCAUGAGGAACCUAUAAAGAGAGCAAGUGAGGAUGACUCGGAUGUAUGUGUUCACUCUCAAAAUUUUUAUAAAUAGGUCUUGUUCUUAUCUUAACUCUCCUAGCAGAUAAUGUACAUUCUCAGUUAUGCUUUACUUCUUCAUAAUCGUCUUCUUGUAUGUUUCAACAAAAAGGGUAUUGUGAAAAAAGAAAAUGAAAGAAAAAUGGAAAGGAUAAGUUAACUCAUGGGCAGACCAGAUCAAAGCUUAGCUUCCAAGGCUUCUUCACGAGUCUGGUGGCUAACUCAAAAAAGGAGAGAAGAUGGGAGGAAUGGCGCUUGGGUACUACCCAUUACUCCCAUCGGAACUACCUUGAGCGCUUUGUCGUCUUUUUUCUCGCCAG
RNAcentral lists this unclassified non-coding RNA (523 nucleotides) under Hevea brasiliensis (rubber tree). The record is from RNAcentral. Lineage: Eukaryota; Viridiplantae; Streptophyta; Magnoliopsida; Malpighiales; Euphorbiaceae.